Molecule: non-coding RNA, 191 nt
Filed under: Peptostreptococcaceae bacterium
Lineage: Bacteria; Bacillati; Bacillota; Clostridia; Peptostreptococcales; Peptostreptococcaceae
Description: T-box sequence
Rfam family: T-box leader
About the family: Uncharged tRNA acts as the effector for transcription antitermination of genes in the T-box leader family. T-boxes are found upstream of many aminoacyl-tRNA synthetase genes and some amino acid biosynthetic genes usually in Gram-positive bacteria. The anticodon of a specific tRNA base pairs to a specifier sequence within the T-box motif, and the NCCA acceptor tail of the tRNA base pairs to a conserved bulge in the T-box antiterminator hairpin.
Source: RNAcentral
UAAGUUGUAAAGAAGAGGAACAGUAUCUUUAAGUCCUGUGCAGAGAGAAGACGGUCGGUGCAAGUCUUUCAUGGAAUUUGAGGAGAACCCGCCUUGGAGCAACACGGGUUUCAAGCCCUUAUCUUGUCGAGGUGAACCGUUGACGGUUUAUAAGAGUGGUACCGCGGAAGUGAAUGUCUUUCGUCUCUUUG